RNAcentral lists this ribosomal RNA (436 nucleotides) under uncultured Sphingomonas sp. RNAcentral describes it as "bacterial SSU rRNA". It matches the Rfam family "Bacterial small subunit ribosomal RNA", at positions 342 to 795 of the family's 1533-position model. The record is from RNAcentral. Lineage: Bacteria; Pseudomonadati; Pseudomonadota; Alphaproteobacteria; Sphingomonadales; Sphingomonadaceae.
CGGGGGGCAGCAGUGGGGAAUAUUGGACAAUGGGCGAAAGCCUGAUCCAGCAAUGCCGCGUGAGUGAUGAAGGCCUUAGGGUUGUAAAGCUCUUUUACCCGGGAUGAUAAUGACAGUACCGGGAGAAUAAGCCCCGGCUAACUCCGUGCCAGCAGCCGCGGUAAUACGGAGGGGGCUAGCGUUGUUCGGAAUUACUGGGCGUAAAGCGCGCGUAGGCGGCUUUGUAAGUCAGAGGUGAAAGCCUGGAGCUCAACUCCAGAACUGCCUUUGAAACUACAUCGCUAGAAUCAUGGAGAGGUUAGUGGAAUUCCGAGUGUAGAGGUGAAAUUCGUAGAUAUUCGGAAGAACACCAGUGGCGAAGGCGACUAACUGGACAUGUAUUGACGCUGAGGUGCGAAAGCGUGGGGAGCAAACAGGAUUAGAUACCCCUGUANUC